Long non-coding RNA from Balaenoptera musculus (blue whale), 1541 nucleotides. RefSeq lists it as uncharacterized. The record is from RefSeq and is a predicted model, not a curated record. NCBI's taxonomy places the organism in Eukaryota, Metazoa, Chordata, Mammalia, Artiodactyla, Balaenopteridae. The transcript has 2 exons.
CUUGAGUGAUGUUACACUCUCUCCAUUGUUCACCAGCCCUGUGUGGCUUACCAAAGCCUGGUGUCAGUCCCAACUAGGGUACUGGCUAAGCGGCUGGGUUUAAAGAAUGAAUUCGGGAGGACUGGAGCUUUCUGUUUUGGCUAAGCAUCUGUAGACUGUAGCAGUUAGUUGGACCUUAGCAUCCUAGGGAGCCAAGACCUUCUGAAGAAGUAUGCCAGGAAGGGAAUCUUGGUUGCUGUAAAUCCUAUUAUCAAAUAGCCAACUGCCUUCAGUAGAACUUGCUUCCUUGAGCUGGGCCCUGAGGGAGGACACCUGGGUGGGGAUCACCUGGCAAUAGGAUAGCCCUUAUCUCUGUAUUAGAAGUGUCUGUUUCAGUCAACACUGGGAGAACAAGCUGAAUUAAGAUGCUGAGACCAACAUUGACAACAAGCCCACAUCAACACAGGGAAUUUCUGAAGAAAGAGAGGUGAUGAUAUCAUGUAGACUGCCGAAGAGUUUCUCAAGAACCUGACUUUCCAGAAACAUGUGAACUGGAGAAGCACCAGGAAAUCCCCACAGUGAAAAACAUUAAAAGAAAGGAUGAGAGAAUCCACUAUGCAAGGAAACCCUUCGGAUGUGAGGAGUGUGGGAGAUACUUCAUCUUUUUUUCUUACUAUAAUUCGACACCAGAGAGUCCACACUGGAGAGAAACUCUAUCCACAUGAGGAGUGUGGGAAAUCCUUCAUGGCAAUUCUUCAUUAAUUCAGCAUCAGAGAAUCCACACUGGAGAGAAACCCUAUCAGUGUGAGGGGUGUGGAAGAGCCUUUAAUAACAGUGAAAGUCUGAUCAGGCAUCAGAGAGUCCACAGUGGGGACAGACCCAAUCUCUGCAAGAGGUGUGGAAAUGGCUUCCCCAGUAGUUCUGAACCUUGUUAUACAUCACAGAAUCCAGACGGGAGAGAAACCCUAUGAAUGUAAUGAGUGCGGCAAAAGCUUUUUCUGUUAAGUCAACAUUAAGUCGGCAUCAGAGAAUCCACAGUGGAGAAAAACCAUAUGGGUGUAGCAAGUGUGGGAAAACAUUAGGACUUCCUCCCAGCUACAUCAUCUUGGGUAUGCCCACCCUAGAAAGAAGCCUGUCCUGGACCUUGGUUCUUUUGGCCUCCCAGCAUUUUUUUACCCCAUUUUCAUGGUAAUUUACUGCCCUACUUUUUGGGAAAAUACCACUCUGCCCCAACCACAACAGUUCAUGUGGUUUGGGUGAGGCUCUAUUCCCUACUGCAAAGGUGGAACAUGUAGCCUAGUCUGGCCCAUCUGUACUGUUCCUUCCACCCACCACAAUGGUGGGUUCAGGCGACCCAAAUUCAUCCAAUCAGAAUGGACUCUUUGACUGUGCAAAACCUACCACGAAGUGACAUUCUUUUCUGCUGGACAUGGAUGUUAGCCUUGACCCACGUGAAGGCUGAGAAGAAAGCCAGCCCUGCAAACAGAGAUGGAGAGAACUAAACUUGCCUCUGGAUUUUUCAGUGAUGUAAAUCAAAAAAUUAAAUUCUUUGCUUAAAUAGU